RNAcentral lists this ribosomal RNA (482 nucleotides) under uncultured bacterium. Its description in RNAcentral is "bacterial SSU rRNA". It matches the Rfam family "Bacterial small subunit ribosomal RNA", at positions 28 to 507 of the family's 1533-position model. The record is from RNAcentral. RNAcentral also lists the same sequence under 1 other name.
GAUGAACGCUAGCGGCAGGCCUAAUACAUGCAAGUCGAACGAUACCAGAGAGCUUGCUUUCUGGGAAAGUGGCGCACGGGUGCGUAACGCGUAUGCAACCUACCUUAAUCAGGGGGAUAGCCUCUCGAAAGAGAGAUUAACACCGCAUAAAAUCACACUUCGGCAUCGAAGAAUGAUCAAAUAUUUAUAGGAUUAAGAUGGGCAUGCGUGACAUUAGCUAGUUGGUAAGGUAACGGCUUACCAAGGCUACGAUGUCUAGGGGAUCUGAGAGGAUGACCCCCCACACUGGUACUGAGACACGGACCAGACUCCUACGGGAGGCAGCAGUAAGGAAUAUUGGUCAAUGGGGGCAACCCUGAACCAGCCAUGCCGCGUGCAGGAAGACGGCCCUACGGGUUGUAAACUGCUUUUAUACGGGAAUAAAUCUCGCUACGUGUAGUGAGUUGAAUGUACUGUAAGAAUAAGGAUCGGCUAACUCCGUG